RNAcentral lists this long non-coding RNA (470 nucleotides) under Monodelphis domestica (gray short-tailed opossum). RNAcentral describes it as "lncRNA (ENSMODG00000045908.1)". The record is from RNAcentral. Lineage: Eukaryota; Metazoa; Chordata; Mammalia; Didelphimorphia; Didelphidae.
GCACAUAAAGAAAUGAGUAUUCAUUUCUUUAUUUUUUCUUUUUUUAUAAAUAGAAUUUUCCUUUAUGUCUUAGGUCCUUUCUCCCCUCUCCACACCUUAGAAGGAUCAUCCAUCAAAUAGAUAUCUACUUAAGAUGAACAAGGAGAAAAACCAGAAUUGAAUACCAAGAAGGGAAUAUGCUGAAUUGCCUUCAAAAUAUUGUCCAGUACUUUCUCCAGACCAUGCCUACUCCUUAUCACAAAGGAAAAAAUUUUCACUGAAUGAGUUUUCCUGGUAAUGAUGAAUAUCUGCCAAUCUUGGAGUAUCAUCCUGACAAUGGAAAGAGAGUUCCUGAUGACCAAAAGGCACUCAAGACAUGAAUCCUCCAAGUCCAGUGGCAAGAUAAAAAAGUCAGAAUGAUUGGCAAUAGCUCAGGACACAGCGUGUGACUGGCAUCUCCGAUUCCUGACCAAGCUUGAGAUGCUGCACAG